CAAUUUUUGGAUAAUCGCGUAGCUUUUUAGGUUAUGAGGAAAGUCCAUGCUAGCACUGGCUGUGAUGCCAGUAGUGUUUGUGCUAGGCGAAAAAAUAAGCCUAGGAAUGUCUUUGACAUUACGGCGGAAAAAAAGGCUAAGUCGAAUGAUAUGCCUGAGUAUUUCUGAAAGUGCCACAGUGACGCAGUUUCUAUGGAAACGUAGAAAAUGGAACGCGGUAAACCCCUCAAGCUAGCAACCCAAACUUUGGUCGGGGCAUGGGAUAGACGGGAAACGAACCUUCUAUCCUGACUGUUUACAGUAGACAGAUGAUUAUCGAAAGAAGUAAUACCUAGUUAUUUCUGGAACAAAACAUGGCUUAUAGAAAAU
This 369-nucleotide RNase P RNA is filed under the name Streptococcus porcinus str. Jelinkova 176. Its description in RNAcentral is "Bacterial RNase P class B". It matches the Rfam family "Bacterial RNase P class B". From Rfam's summary of the family: Ribonuclease P (RNase P) is a ubiquitous endoribonuclease, found in archaea, bacteria and eukarya as well as chloroplasts and mitochondria. Its best characterised activity is the generation of mature 5'-ends of tRNAs by cleaving the 5'-leader elements of precursor-tRNAs. Lineage: Bacteria; Bacillati; Bacillota; Bacilli; Lactobacillales; Streptococcaceae. The record is from RNAcentral.